Molecule: ribosomal RNA, 448 nt
Filed under: uncultured bacterium
Lineage: Bacteria
Description: partial 16S ribosomal RNA
Rfam family: Bacterial small subunit ribosomal RNA
Source: RNAcentral
GACGAACGCUGGCGGCAUGCCUAACACAUGCAAGUCGAACGAAGCCUUCGGGCUUAGUGGCGCACGGGUGCGUAACGCGUGGGAAUCUGCCCUUUGGUUCGGAAUAACAGUUGGAAACGACUGCUAAUGCCGGAUGAUGACGAAAGUCCAAGAUUUAUCGCCAGAGGAUGAGCCCGCGUAGGAUUAGCUAGUUGGUGUGGUAAAGGCGCACCAAGGCGACGAUCCUUAGCUGGUCUGAGAGGAUGAUCAGCCACACUGGGACUGAGACACGGCCCAGACUCCUACGGGAGGCAGCAGUGGGGAAUAUUGGACAAUGGGCGAAAGCCUGAUCCAGCAAUGCCGCGUGAGUGAUGAAGGCCCUAGGGUUGUAAAGCUCUUUUACCCGGGAUGAUAAUGACAGUACCGGGAGAAUAAGCCCCGGCUAACUCCGUGCCAGCCGCCGCCGUAA